RNAcentral lists this ribosomal RNA (360 nucleotides) under Triticum aestivum (bread wheat). RNAcentral's name for it is "partial small subunit ribosomal RNA". The record is from RNAcentral. Lineage: Eukaryota; Viridiplantae; Streptophyta; Magnoliopsida; Poales; Poaceae.
AUGUUUGGCAAAAUCUCUAAAGUGGGCAGUAUGUCCGAUGCAGGAGCAGCUUUGUGCAGGUCCUAUGGGCGUGCGUUGGAGACUGAACUGAACCAACUUUAUAAAGCAAGGAGGAAGAAGAAGCCAACGGAGCCAGCCGAGCCACCAGCCCAAUCUGCCCCAACGGAAGCUUCUGUUGGAGAACCUAAAGCAAAUCUUUUGCGUAACCCCCCAAAAUCAUCUACUAAAGGACGCAAGAGAGACAAGAGGUACUAUUCGGGCAUUGAGUUGCAUCCGAAGAAGAAGACAAAAUGUGCAUACUGCAAAGAGUUAGGGAACAAUUGUGCCACUUGCACGCCUGGUCUAAACCGAAGUGCUUGA